GACGAACGCUGGCGGCGUGCUUAACACAUGCCAGUCGAACGGAAAGGCCCUGCUUUUGUGGGGUGCUCGAGUGGCGAACGGGUGAGUAACACGUGAGUAACCUGCCCUUGACCUUGGGAUAACUUCAGGAAACUGGGGCUAAUACCGGAUAGGAGCUCCUGCUGCAUGGUGGGGGUUGGAAAGUUUCGGCGGUUGGGGAUGGACUCGCGGCUUAUCAGCUUGUUGGUGGGGUAGUGGCUUACCAAGGCUUUGACGGGUAGCCGGCCUGAGAGGGUGACCGGCCACAUUGGGACUGAGAUACGGCCCAGACUCCUACGGGAGGCAGCAGUGGGGAAUAUUGCACAAUGGGCGGAAGCCUGAUGCAGCAACGCCGCGUGCGGGAUGACGGCCUUCGGGUUGUAAACCGCUUUCGCCUGUGACGAAGCGUGAGUGACGGUAAUGGGUAAAGAAGCACCGGCUAACUACGUG
RNAcentral lists this ribosomal RNA (468 nucleotides) under uncultured bacterium. RNAcentral describes it as "partial 16S ribosomal RNA". It matches the Rfam family "Bacterial small subunit ribosomal RNA", at positions 28 to 507 of the family's 1533-position model. The record is from RNAcentral.